Molecule: transfer RNA, 70 nt
Filed under: Microdevario kubotai
Lineage: Eukaryota; Metazoa; Chordata; Actinopteri; Cypriniformes; Danionidae
Description: tRNA-Trp
Rfam family: tRNA
About the family: Transfer RNA (tRNA) molecules are approximately 80 nucleotides in length. Their secondary structure includes four short double-helical elements and three loops (D, anti-codon, and T loops). Further hydrogen bonds mediate the characteristic L-shaped molecular structure. tRNAs have two regions of fundamental functional importance: the anti-codon, which is responsible for specific mRNA codon recognition, and the 3' end, to which the tRNAs corresponding amino acid is attached (by aminoacyl-tRNA synthetases). tRNAs cope with the degeneracy of the genetic code in two manners: having more than one tRNA (with a specific anti-codon) for a particular amino acid; and 'wobble' base-pairing, i.e. permitting non-standard base-pairing at the 3rd anti-codon position.
Source: RNAcentral
AGGGGUUUAGGAUAAUAUAGACCAAGGACCUUCAAAGCCCUAAGUAAAAGUGAAAGUCUUUUAACCCCUG